Molecule: long non-coding RNA, 1102 nt
Organism: Schistocerca gregaria
Lineage: Eukaryota; Metazoa; Arthropoda; Insecta; Orthoptera; Acrididae
Exons: 2
Source: RefSeq, a predicted model, not a curated record
UAUUUUUUCACUGCACUUAGCAGGUGUAUCAUCUAUUCUUGGUGCAGUGAAUUUCAUUACAACAGCAAUUAAUAUACGAUCAGAAAGUAUAACUUUAGAUCAAACACCUUUAUUUGUAUGAUCUGUAGCUAUUACAGCAUUACUUCUCCUUCUUUCACUUCCAGUUUUAGCAGGAGCUAUUACUAUAUUAUUAACAGAUCGAAAUUUAAAUACAUCAUUCUUUGACCCUGCAGGAGGGGGUGACCCAAUUCUAUAUCAACAUCUAUUUUGAUUCUUUGGACACCCAGAAGUUAUAUUUUAAUUCUACCGGGGUUCGGAAUUAUUUCACAUAUUGUAUGUCAAGAAAGAGGAAAAAUUGAAUCAUUUGGAACAUUAGGUAUAAUUUAUGCUAUACUAUCAAUUGGACUAAUAGGAUUUAUUGUAUGAGCACAUCAUAUAUUUACAGUAGGAAUGGAUGUUGACACACGAGCAUAUUUUACAUCAGCAACAAUAAUUAUUGCUGUACCUACAGGAAUUAAGGUAUUUAGAUGAUUAGCUACAUUAUAUGGAACUAAAUUCAAGUUCAAUCCACCAUUAUUAUGAGCUCUAGGAUUUAUUUUCCUAUUUACAAUUGGUGGAUUAACAGGAUUAGUAUUAGCAAAUUCAUCACUUGAUAUUGUAUUACAAGAUACAUAUUAUGUAGUAGCCCACUUUCAUUAUGUAUUAUCUAUAGGAGCAGUAUUUGCAAUUAUAGGAGGUGUCAUUCAAUGAUAUCCACUAUUUACAGGAUUAACUAUAAAUAAUACAUGAUUAAAAAUCCAAUUUACAAUUAUAUUCAUUGGAGUAAAUUUAACAUUCUUUCCUCAACACUUCCUAGGAUUAGCAGGAAUACCUCGACGAUACUCUGACUACCCAGACGCAUAUACAUCAUGAAACGUAGUAUCAAGAAUUGGGUCUACAAUUUCUAUUGUAGGAAUCAUUAUAUUCAUUGUAAUUAUAUGAGAAAGAAUGAUUACAAACCGAGCAAUUAUAUUUAGAGCUAACAUAAGAAGAUCAACAGAAUGACUACAAAAUAACCCUCCUGCAGAACAUAGUUACUCAGAAUUACCAUUAAUCUCUAGAU